ACUUUGCACCCCGUAACCGGUUUGCAUUUAUCGGUCCGAUAAAGCAAUGAAAAGGGAAUCGGGUGUAAAUCCCGAACAGGCCCGCUGCUGUGAAGUUCAUGAUGGUUUCAGACACAUACUGCAAUGCCACUAAUCGGAGCGCGAUUGGGAAGGCGUCUGAAAAGGGAACAAGUCAGAAGACCUGCCGGUUGCCCGGAAUGGAU
Molecule: non-coding RNA, 203 nt
Filed under: Barnesiella viscericola
Lineage: Bacteria; Pseudomonadati; Bacteroidota; Bacteroidia; Bacteroidales; Barnesiellaceae
Source: RNAcentral